CCUACGGGAGGCAGCAGUGGGGAAUAUUGCACAAUGGGGGAAACCCUGAUGCAGCGACGCCGCGUGAGUGAAGAAGUAUUUCGGUAUGUAAAGCUCUAUCAGCAGGGAAGAAAAUGACGGUACCAGAUUAAGAAGCCCCGGCUAACUACGGGCCAGCAGCCGCGGGAAUACGUAGGGGGCAAGCGGUAUCCGGAUUUACUGGGUGUAAAGGGAGCGUAGACGGCAGCACAAGUCUGGAGUGAAAUGCCGGGGCUUAACCCCGGAACUGCUUUGGAAACUGUGCAGCUAGAGUGCAGGAGAGGUAAGUGGAAUUCCUGGUGUAGCGGUGAAAUGCGUAGAUAUUAGGAGGAACACCAGUGGCGAAGGCGGCUUACUGGACUGUAACUGACGUUGAGGCUCGAAAGCGUGGGGAGCAAACAGGAUUAGAUACCCCAGUAGUC
Molecule: ribosomal RNA, 440 nt
Filed under: uncultured bacterium
Lineage: Bacteria
Description: partial 16S ribosomal RNA
Rfam family: Bacterial small subunit ribosomal RNA
Source: RNAcentral